UGGGGAAUAUUGCACAAUGGAGGGAACUCUGAUGCAGCGACGCCGCGUGAGUGAUGAAGGAAUUCGUUUCGUAAAACUCUGUUCUAUGGGAAGAAAAGGACUGUACCAUAGGAGAAAGCUCCGGCUAAAUACGUGCCAGCAGCCGCGGUAAUACGUAUGGAGCGAGCGUUGUCCGGAAUUAUUGGGCGUAAAGGGUGCGCAGGCGGCUUUACAAGUUGGAUGUGAAAUAUUGUGGCUCAACCACAAACGUGCAUCCAAAACUGCAAAGCUUGAGUUAAGGAGAGGUAAGUGGAAUUCCUGGUGUAGCGGUGGAAUGCGUAGAUAUCAGGAGGAAUAACGGUGGCGAAGGCGACUUACUGGACUUAAACUGACGCUCAGGCACGAAAGCGUGGGGAGCAAACAGG
Molecule: ribosomal RNA, 404 nt
Filed under: Fusobacteriota bacterium
Lineage: Bacteria; Fusobacteriati; Fusobacteriota
Description: Fusobacteria bacterium partial 16S ribosomal RNA
Rfam family: Bacterial small subunit ribosomal RNA
Source: RNAcentral